AAAAUUUGUUAUUAAUUUGAUUUAUAUGUAAAUUUUUGUGAGAAAUUUUAAUAAUUUUAAAAAUUAUUAAUUUAUUAAUAACCGCAGUAAUUAAUUUUAUUUAUUAAAGAAAUUUAGAAAUAGUAAUAUUAAAGAGUAUAGAUUAAAUUGGUGCCAGCAAUCGCGGUUAUACCAAUUAUACAAAUAAAUUUUAUUAGAAAAAGUUAAAUUGUUAAAAUUUAAAUUAAAUUAAAUUUAUUAAGUGAAAUUUUAAAUUUAAAUUUUUUUAUACAAAAAAUUAUUGAAGCUUGAAAUUUUAAUUAA
RNAcentral lists this ribosomal RNA (303 nucleotides) under Drosophila lacertosa. Its description in RNAcentral is "partial 12S ribosomal RNA". The record is from RNAcentral. Lineage: Eukaryota; Metazoa; Arthropoda; Insecta; Diptera; Drosophilidae.